Molecule: small nucleolar RNA, 108 nt
Organism: Hibiscus syriacus
Lineage: Eukaryota; Viridiplantae; Streptophyta; Magnoliopsida; Malvales; Malvaceae
Product: small nucleolar RNA snoR97
Exons: 1
Source: RefSeq, a predicted model, not a curated record
UAAUUAAAUGUGGUUUAGGGUCUGAAAAACUCGUACAGUUUAUGUGUUGUCGUCAGCUUUUUCUCUUGCAUAUUCAGGAGAUUGGAGUUAAAUAACAGCACUAAAUUG